RNAcentral lists this long non-coding RNA (1243 nucleotides) under Olea europaea subsp. europaea. The record is from RNAcentral. Lineage: Eukaryota; Viridiplantae; Streptophyta; Magnoliopsida; Lamiales; Oleaceae.
GUUCAAAUGACUAAGAUGUAGUUUUUCUCCGUCCUUGAAUCAGGCUCCACCUGGCACUGCAAGGAGAAAAAGAAGGUCAGAAUCAAGGAAGCAAUUUGCAGACUCGUCGGCAAGACCUAGUCCUCGUGGUUUUGGGGCCGGGAACUAAGAUUAAAAGUUUGAAAACUCAACAUUGCAAGACCCUUAAAGCUCAAUGUUCAUAUGAUUUGCUACUAUACUUGCGGGUCCAUUUUUGCUCUCUAGUAAACUUGAAGAAAUUUUUCCUCAAGAAUUUUCUUAUUCUUCUUCCCAUUUUUCUCCUGAGAAAAAGGGACUGCUGGCAAUAGUAGUUGCUGAAGGUCAUAAUAUAUUUUGAUGAGAAAUCAAAUGCAUAGUUUUAGUUGGGACUUGGGAUAUUAUCCACUGCUGAAAAUUGGGUUUGGUGCUGCCACUCAGUUACAUGUACAGGUUAAUUUUCUACUGUUUAAUUUCCCUUUCUACUCUUAUUGUGGAAUUUUCUUAUUGUGUUAACAGUGCUUUUUUCCCCAAAAAAUGAAAUAAAAUUGUGUAAUCAACUCGAAAUUUGUAGAGAAUAAUACUUAUUACUGUGUAAAGUGCCUGAUUCACCAUCAAGACUGUGACAUGAUAUUACUUAAAGAAUUAUUUUAGUAAAUUCCGGAGCAUAUAGGAAACAGUAACUCAAAUAAAAUGUAAAAUUUCCCAAAUACAAUAUAUCAAAAUACUUGGAGAUCGCUCAUCCGACCAAUGCUUGUAACGACUUGAUAAAAUGAGAAUAUAUUGGAAAUUUCCAACUUAUGUUACAAAAUAACCUGAUCAAUGCAAGAUGUAGCAGGUCCUAUAUAUCAUACAUGAUUUUGCGUUUUAUGAUAGGUACAAAGUAUGAACUAUGUUACAUGAUUGACAUAGAAAUAAAUGAUGAAUAAUCCAAUAGGGAAAAAUAGGAAACCAUUUGACAGUGAGUUUUGAGCAAUUUUCCAGGGAAGUUGAAAGGAAAAAUUAAAAGUUAGUUGAGAUCUCUAUUAAUGUAAGCAUUUCUGGACAUGUUUCGUUAAGUAAGGUGUCCAUAAUUCCCAAGUGUUUAUUUUUUUUUAUUUUUUUUUUGGACACAUCAUUUGUUGUAUUCUUCCUGCAAAUUAGCAUUACACUAGGAAUUGAUAACGAGAGACUUUUUUUUUUUUUUUUUUUUUUUUUUUUUUUAUAGUAAAUGGCAAACUCAGGAAGGACUUCCAGCUGCCAAUGCAGA